This 19-nucleotide small nuclear RNA is filed under the name Arabidopsis thaliana (thale cress). RNAcentral describes it as "snRNA_08820". The record is from RNAcentral. Lineage: Eukaryota; Viridiplantae; Streptophyta; Magnoliopsida; Brassicales; Brassicaceae.
ACUCAUAACCGCAUCAGGU